AGUGAACGCUGGCGGUAGGCCUAACACAUGCAAGUCGAACGGCAGCACAGUAAGAGCUUGCUCUUACGGGUGGCGAGUGGCGGACGGGUGAGGAAUACAUCGGAAUCUACUUUUUCGUGGGGGAUAACGUAGGGAAACUUACGCUAAUACCGCAUACGACCUACGGGUGAAAGCAGGGGAUCUUCGGACCUUGCGCGAUUGAAUGAGACGAUGUCGGAUUAGCUAGUUGGCGGGGUAAAGGCCCACCAAGGCGACGAUCCGUAUCUGGUCUGAGAGGAUGAUCAGCCACACUGGAACUGAGACACGGUCCAGACUCCUACGGGAGGCAGCAGUGGGGAAUAUUGGACAAUGGGCGCAAGCCUGAUCCAGCCAUACCGCGUGGGUGAAGAAGGCCUUCGGGUUGUAAAGCCCUUUUGUUGGGAAAGAAAAGCAGCAGGUUAAUACCCCGCUGUUCUGACGGUACCCAAAGAAUAAGCACCGGCUAACUUCGUG
Molecule: ribosomal RNA, 492 nt
Filed under: uncultured bacterium
Lineage: Bacteria
Description: partial 16S ribosomal RNA
Rfam family: Bacterial small subunit ribosomal RNA
Source: RNAcentral